UAGGUAUUCGAGUAUAUGCAAA
Molecule: non-coding RNA, 22 nt
Filed under: Arabidopsis thaliana (thale cress)
Lineage: Eukaryota; Viridiplantae; Streptophyta; Magnoliopsida; Brassicales; Brassicaceae
Source: RNAcentral